RNAcentral lists this long non-coding RNA (564 nucleotides) under Heterocephalus glaber (naked mole-rat). RNAcentral describes it as "lncRNA (ENSHGLG00000033059.1)". The record is from RNAcentral. Lineage: Eukaryota; Metazoa; Chordata; Mammalia; Rodentia; Bathyergidae.
GUUCCGCCCUGAGGGUCUCCACAAGGCUGCAGAGAUCGGGGCUUCUCCUUUGCUCCCCAUCCUCGAGCAGACGCCAGCUUGGUUAAUGACGGGUUUACUUGGCCUUUUCAUAAUUAUCAUCCACCGGAAGUGCUGCUGCAGCUGCUGAGGACGCUCGGGGCAGUGCCGCUGCCCUGCAGCCCUGUAGACCUGAGCAGGACCUGCGCCCUCCGGGGGCCUGGCAGGAGGAUGAGGCAGUCUGAGUUCAGAACCGCCGCCCUGCACGUGGGGAGGGUGCUGCACAGGGUCCUCACCCUCAAAGCUUUGUUUUCUCAGCUGUGAUAAGACUUAGAAACCAGUGCCAUCAUCGGGGUUGCUGUGAGAAAAAGGAAUUCAUAUAAAAAUGGGUCAUGCUAUGUAGUUCAGGCUGGCCUGGAAUUCACUAUGUACCUCAGGCUGGCCUUGAACUUGCAGCAAUCCUCCUGCCUCAGCCUCAGCAUGCAGAACCCAUCCUCUAUCCGGAAGGAUGAACUGGCACAGAUGUCAAAACCUGAAUGGGAUGAGCAAGGGAGAAGGAGAGGGGAC